GUUGGUAAGUGAUUGUAGUGUACAUGUUUUAUAUAGCUUUAUUUAACUUAAAACUAACAAAAAAAAAAAUUUAUUAAAACAAAACACAUUUAAUUUAAUUUAUGGACGCAGUAACGAUGUCAGAACUAGUACACAGUUUUUUGUUUUGAAAUAUUCUGCUAUGGCAUUUUUUCGUUAUGUGUAUAUUACACAAACGACGUUAUGUC
This 206-nucleotide long non-coding RNA is filed under the name Mytilus galloprovincialis (Mediterranean mussel). The record is from RNAcentral. Lineage: Eukaryota; Metazoa; Mollusca; Bivalvia; Mytilida; Mytilidae.